AUUCAGUGUUGCAUAAAGCUGGUCCUCCCUGCCUAAGCUUAACUAGUAGAGAAACCUCUAGGUUUGGAUGGAAGUGACAUGCUCUCCAGCCUCGGUAGAAGUCUCAUACAUAGAAACAUGCUCUGCCUCCAGGUUCCCAAUCUGACCCACAGUUCCAGAUUUGCCAAGUCUCACUCAUUUGGGUAGCAGACUCUCUCUUAAGUUAAGGCCAUUUAAAAAGUCUCUUCCUCUGGCAAUGAAGGAUUUUUCUGUUUUUUUUUUCCAAUGAGACAUUGAAUAUUUCAUGCCUAAACUUUAGGAAAUAUCCCUUGUUAAGUUGUCACUGCUUGACUGUUGUUUUUUUUUGCAAAAGAUGAAGUAGGUCCCUGUGUCUUCCACCAAAAUAAACAUUGACCACAGAGUUCAGAUUGGAGUUCAGAAAAGUGGAGUGCCUAAUGACCCUGAUUGGAAUUAGGACUCAUUUAACAGAUGGAGAAGCUGAGGUGUGGAGAGAAAAAGCAAUUUACCAGAUGUCAGAGUAACUCAAGGGCAGAGGGUGAAAAUCCUUCCAGGAUCCAGGCUGAUGUUGGAAGCAACACCAUUGCUUGUUGGGCUGAAUUUUCCAAGAAGCAGUUACCGCCAUCCAGUGCACCUUCAGGCAAACACUACAAGGUGGGAUUUACCAAAGGCUUAUGA
RNAcentral lists this long non-coding RNA (675 nucleotides) under Chrysemys picta bellii (western painted turtle). RNAcentral's name for it is "lncRNA (ENSCPBG00000028094.1)". Lineage: Eukaryota; Metazoa; Chordata; Testudines; Emydidae. The record is from RNAcentral.